GGUGCUGAAGCAACAAAUGCCCUGCUUCCAGGAAAAGCCUCUAAGCAUCAGGUAACAUCAAAUCGUACCCCAAACCGACACAGGUGGUCAGGUAGAGAAUACCAAGGCGCUUGAGAGAACUCGGGUGAAGGAACUAGGCAAAAUGGUGCCGUAACUUCGGGAGAAGGCACGCUGAUAUGUAGGUGAAGUCCCUCGCGGAUGGAGCUGAAAUCAGUCGAAGAUACCAGCUGGCUGCAACUGUUUAUUAAAAACACAGCACUGUGCAAACACGAAAGUGGACGUAUACGGUGUGACGCCUGCCCGGUGCCGGAAGGUUAAUUGAUGGGGUCAGCGCAAGCGAAGCUCUUGAUCGAAGCCCCGGUAAACGGCGGCCGUAACUAUAACGGUCCUAAGGUAGCGAAAUUCCUUGUCGGGUAAGUUCCGACCUGCACGAAUGGCGUAAUGAUGGCCAGGCUGUCUCCACCCGAGACUCAGUGAAAUUGAACUCGCUGUGAAGAUGCAGUGUACCCGCGGCAAGACGGAAAGACCCCGUGAACCUUUACUAUAGCUUGACACUGAACAUUGAGCCUUGAUGUGUAGGAUAGGUGGGAGGCUUAGAAGUGUGGACGCCAGUCUGCAUGGAGCCGACCUUGAAAUACCACCCUUUAAUGUUUGAUGUUCUAACGUUGACCCGUAAUCCGGGUUGCGGACAGUGUCUGGUGGGUAGUUUGACUGGGGCGGUCUCCUCCUAAAGAGUAACGGAGGAGCACGAAGGUUGGCUAAUCCUGGUCGGACAUCAGGAGGUUAGUGCAAUGGCAUAAGCCAGCUUGACUGCGAGCGUGACGGCGCGAGCAGGUGCGAAAGCAGGUCAUAGUGAUCCGGUGGUUCUGAAUGGAAGGGCCAUCGCUCAACGGAUAAAAGGUACUCCGGGGAUAACAGGCUGAUACCGCCCAAGAGUUCAUAUCGACGGCGGUGUUUGGCACCUCGAUGUCGGCUCAUCACAUCCUGGGGCUGAAGUAGGUCCCAAGGGUAUGGCUGUUCGCCAUUUAAAGUGGUACGCGAGCUGGGUUUAGAACGUCGUGAGACAGUUCGGUCCCUAUCUGCCGUGGGCGCUGGAGAACUGAGGGGGGCUGCUCCUAGUACGAGAGGACCGGAGUGGACGCAUCACUGGUGUUCGGGUUGUCAUGCCAAUGGCACUGCCCGGUAGCUAAAUGCGGAAGAGAUAAGUGCUGAAAGCAUCUAAGCACGAAACUUGCC
RNAcentral lists this ribosomal RNA (1236 nucleotides) under Escherichia coli. RNAcentral's name for it is "partial 23S ribosomal RNA". It matches the Rfam family "Bacterial large subunit ribosomal RNA", at positions 1581 to 2798 of the family's 2925-position model. The record is from RNAcentral. Lineage: Bacteria; Pseudomonadati; Pseudomonadota; Gammaproteobacteria; Enterobacterales; Enterobacteriaceae.